AUACGGGGGGAGCAAGCGUUGUCCGGAAUCACUGGGCGUAAAGGGCGUGUAGGCGGGUUGGUCAGUCAGAUGUGAAAGCCUGCGGCUUAACCGUAGAAAUGCAUUUGAAACUGCCGGCCUUGAGUGCGAGAGAGGGUAGUGGAAUUCCCAGUGUAGCGGUGAAUGCGUAGAUAUUGGGAAGAACACCAGUAGCGAAGGCGGCUACCUGGCUCGCAACUGACGCUAAUGCGCGAAAGCGUGGGGAGCGAACAGGAUUAGAAACCCCAGUAGUCC
RNAcentral lists this ribosomal RNA (273 nucleotides) under uncultured bacterium. RNAcentral's name for it is "partial 16S ribosomal RNA". It matches the Rfam family "Bacterial small subunit ribosomal RNA", at positions 523 to 796 of the family's 1533-position model. The record is from RNAcentral.